GCGACGGGUGAGUAACACGUGGAUAACCUACCUAUAAGACUGGGAUAACUUCGGGAAACCGGAGCUAAUACCGGAUAAGAUUUUGAACCGCAUGGUUCAAUAGUGAAAGACGGCCUUGCUGUCACUUAUAGAUGGAUCCGCGCCGUAUUAGCUAGUUGGUAAGGUAACGGCUUACCAAGGCAACGAUACGUAGCCGACCUGAGAGGGUGAUCGGCCACACUGGAACUGAGACACGGUCCAG
This 241-nucleotide ribosomal RNA is filed under the name uncultured Staphylococcus sp. Its description in RNAcentral is "partial 16S ribosomal RNA". It matches the Rfam family "Bacterial small subunit ribosomal RNA", at positions 102 to 334 of the family's 1533-position model. Lineage: Bacteria; Bacillati; Bacillota; Bacilli; Caryophanales; Staphylococcaceae. The record is from RNAcentral.